Molecule: microRNA, 24 nt
Filed under: Oryza sativa (Asian cultivated rice)
Lineage: Eukaryota; Viridiplantae; Streptophyta; Magnoliopsida; Poales; Poaceae
Description: osa-miR5826
Source: miRBase by way of RNAcentral
UAGCCCAAAGUGAGAAGAGUGGGU